CAAGUCGAGCGCUGAUUACGGGGUAGCAAUAUUCUGUGGUCGGAGCGGCGCAAGGGUGCGUAACACGUGGGUAAUCUGCCGUGAAAUUUGGGAUAACUUGCUGAAAGGCGAGCUAAUACCGGAUGUGAAAGUUGAAAGGCAUCUUUCGAUUUUCAAAGCUGGGGACCGUAAGGCCUGGCGCUUCAUGAUGAGCCCGCGGCCUAUCAGCUAGUUGGCAAGGUAACGGCUUACCAAGGCGAAGACGGGUAGCUGGUCUGAGAGGACGACCAGCCACACUGGAACUGAAACACGGUCCAGACACCUACGGGUGGCAGCAGUCGAGAAUUUUUCACAAUGGGCGCAAGCCUGAUGGAGCGACGCCGCGUGGGGGAUGAAUGGCUUCGGCCCGUAAACCCCUGUCAUUUGCAAUCAACCCUCGCUAUUUAAAAGAUGGCGAGCUGAUAGUAGCGAAAGAGGAACGGCCGGCUAAAUCUGUGCCAGCAGCCGCGGU
RNAcentral lists this ribosomal RNA (490 nucleotides) under uncultured bacterium. RNAcentral describes it as "bacterial SSU rRNA". It matches the Rfam family "Bacterial small subunit ribosomal RNA", at positions 58 to 521 of the family's 1533-position model. The record is from RNAcentral.